UGGGGAAUAUUGCACAAUGGAGGGAACUCUGAUGCAGCGACGCCGCGUGAACGAAGAAGGCUUUCGAGUCGUAAAGUUCUUUUAUAUGGGAAGAUAAUGACGGUACCAUAAGAAAAAGCCCCGGCUAACUACGUGCCAGCAGCCGCGGUAAUACGUAGGGGGCUAGCGUUGUCCGGAAUCACUGGGCGUAAAGGGUUCGCAGGCGGAAAUGCAAGUCAGGUGUAAAAGGCAGUAGCUUAACUACUGUAAGCAUUUGAAACUGCAUAUCUUGAGAAGAGUAGAGGUAAGUGGAAUUUUUAGUGUAGCGGUGAAAUGCGUAGAUAUUAGGAAGAACACCAGUGGCGAAGGCGACUCUCUGGUCUGUAACUGACGCUGAGGUUCGAAAGCGUGGGUAGCAAACAGG
RNAcentral lists this ribosomal RNA (403 nucleotides) under Bacteroidota bacterium. Its description in RNAcentral is "Bacteroidetes bacterium partial 16S ribosomal RNA". It matches the Rfam family "Bacterial small subunit ribosomal RNA", at positions 355 to 776 of the family's 1533-position model. Lineage: Bacteria; Pseudomonadati; Bacteroidota. The record is from RNAcentral.